Molecule: unclassified non-coding RNA, 313 nt
Filed under: plant metagenome
Description: partial contains 5.8S ribosomal RNA, internal transcribed spacer 2, and large subunit ribosomal RNA
Rfam family: 5.8S ribosomal RNA (bases 1-106)
Source: RNAcentral
CGAAAUGCGAUAAGUAAUGUGAAUUGCAGAAUUCCGUGAUUCAUCGAAUCUUUGAACGCACAUUGCGCCCUCUGGCAUUCCGGGGGGCAUGCCUGUCCGAGCGUCAUUACGCACCCUCAAGCCCGGCUUGUGUGAUGGGCCCCGGCGUCUCGUUCGCGAGACGGGCCCGAAAGGCAGCGGCGGCGUCGACCCGAUGAGCCCGAGCGUAUGGGGACUUCUGUCACACGUUCGCGGUGCGGACCGGCGCCUGCUUGACUUUUCUGAUUAUCCAGGUUGACCUCGGAUCAGGUAGGGAUACCCGCUGAACUUAAGC